GAUGAACGCUGGCGGCGUGCCUAAUACAUGCAAGUCGAGCGAACGGACGAGAAGCUUGCUUCUCUGAUGUUAGCGGCGGACGGGUGAGUAACACGUGGAUAACCUACCUAUAAGACUGGGAUAACUUCGGGAAACCGGAGCUAAUACCGGAUAAUAUUUUGAACCGCAUGGUUCAAAAGUGAAAGACGGUCUUGCUGUCACAUAUAGAUGGAUCCGCGCUGCAUUAGCUAGUUGGUAAGGUAACGGCUUACCAAGGCAACGAUGCAUAGCCGACCUGAGAGGGAGCUCGGCCACACUGGAACUGAGACACGGUCCCGACUCCUACGGGAGGCAGCAGUAGGGAAUCUUCCACGCUGGGCGAAAGCCUGACGGGGCAACGCCGCGUGAGUGAUGAAGGUCUUCGGAUCGUAAGACUCUGUUAUUAGGGAAGAACAUAUGUGUAAGUAACUGUGCACAUCUUGACGGUACCUAAUCAGAAAGCCACGGCUAACUACGUG
Molecule: ribosomal RNA, 497 nt
Filed under: uncultured bacterium
Lineage: Bacteria
Description: partial 16S ribosomal RNA
Rfam family: Bacterial small subunit ribosomal RNA
Source: RNAcentral